AGGUGUAGCGGUGAAAUGCGUAGAGAUCUGGAGGAAUACCGAUGGCGAAGGCAGCCUUCUGGCAUCAUACUGACACUGAGGCUCGAAAGCGUGGGUAGCAAACAGGAUUAGAUACCCUGGUAGUCCACGCCGUAAACGAUGUCUACUAGUCGUUGGGUCCCUUGAGGACUUAGUGACGCAGCUAACGCAAUAAGUAGACCGCCUGGGGAGUACGGCCGCAAGGUUAAAACUCAAAUGAAUUGACGGGGGCCCGCACAAGCGGUGGAGCAUGUGGUUUAAUUCGAUGCAACGCGAAGAACCUUACCUGGUCUUGACAUAUCUAGAAUCCUGCAGAGAUGCGGGAGUGCCUUCGGGAAUUAGAAUACAGGUGCUGCAUGGCUGUCGUCAGCUCGUGUCGUGAGAUGUUGGGUUAAGUCCCGCAACGAGCGCAACCCUUGUCCUUAGUUACCAGCGGGUUAAGCCGGGAACUCUAAGGAUACUGCCAGUGACAAACUGGAGGAAGGCGGGGACGACGUCAAGUCAUCAUGGCCCUUACGACCAGGGCUACACACGUGCUACAAUGGUAGGUACAGAGGGCAGCUACACAGCGAUGUGAUGCGAAUCUCAAAAAGCCUAUCGUAGUCCAGAUUGGAGUCUGCAACUCGACUCCAUGAAGUAGGAAUCGCUAGUAAUCGCGGAUCAGAAUGCCGCGGUGAAUACGUUCCCGGGCCUUGUACACACCGCCCGUCACACCAUGGGAGUUGAUUGCACCAGAAGUGGUUAGCCUAACCGUAAG
This 775-nucleotide ribosomal RNA is filed under the name Psychrobacter sp. Its description in RNAcentral is "bacterial SSU rRNA". It matches the Rfam family "Bacterial small subunit ribosomal RNA", at positions 671 to 1445 of the family's 1533-position model. The record is from RNAcentral. Lineage: Bacteria; Pseudomonadati; Pseudomonadota; Gammaproteobacteria; Moraxellales; Moraxellaceae.